RNAcentral lists this long non-coding RNA (965 nucleotides) under Salmo salar (Atlantic salmon). Its description in RNAcentral is "lncRNA (ENSSSAG00000115233.1)". The record is from RNAcentral. Lineage: Eukaryota; Metazoa; Chordata; Actinopteri; Salmoniformes; Salmonidae.
UUGAAACUCUGAAAAUAAAUACAUGGUCAAAUGUUACCAAACAUGAUAAUAAUAGGCCUUUAUUACAGUAGGCAGCUAAUUGUUAAAUUACACUUUCCAUCUUUACCUUGGAAGGUCACCGUCUCUGCGCUGAUCGCAUGUGAGUGAGACAACGCUAGCUAGCCAAUGGGAGUGUAGUAGAACGUCCGUCUGAAUAACGGGGAGUGGUUUUGGCUUAACUGCGUUGGGAAAAAGAAAGACACCCAUCAGACACAUGAAGAAAUGGUUAAAAAUGGGAACGCUUCGACGACCACCUGUCACGAUUCUUUAAAGCUGAACCCAGAAGCAGACCAGGACAAGGUGAGUAAAAUGAAGGUGAGUAUUUAUUUACAGUCUCGAGGUGAAAAAUAGAAUAAUCCAGGAGACGGAGCGGCAGCGGAGGUGAGUUGAUGAGAGUGAAUAGGCAGAUCCAAUGAUGUCACUGAAACCACCGACGGCCAGGCAGGGGAGUUGAAUGUUCCGGGAGGAUGACUGUAGACAGAGUAAACGGGGGGAAUGGAUGUCAGGGCUUAUGAAGAGAAGAGGUGAUGAUCAGGACCAGGUGUGCUGAUGAGAUGCAGGUGCGGGUAAUCAAGAGUUCUCCCGCCUAGCUUCGUCGCCUGGCAACCAGACAAGGGGUUCGAGCCUGACUGCAGUGCUGGGGAUGAGGACAGGGAGCCCCAGAUCUCUGACCAGGCCCAGCUCCUCAAGCAGAGGGCCCUGAAGAAGAUCCCCCAAAAGCAGAGGAGGAUACUGGUCCAGUCCUACACCUCUGUCUCCAGCCAGCACAUCCCACAGAGAGGAGAGAUCGCUGUGAGGUUCCACAACUCCUCACACUCUGUGCAUACUGUACCAACCGCUACAGCCCCACCGCUAAAUACAUUGUCACUGUGGAGAUCAUGCAGAAGGAUACAACUCUAAUGCAUGGCUAACAGUGUCAACUAGCA